This 497-nucleotide ribosomal RNA is filed under the name uncultured bacterium. RNAcentral's name for it is "partial 16S ribosomal RNA". It matches the Rfam family "Bacterial small subunit ribosomal RNA", at positions 28 to 507 of the family's 1533-position model. The record is from RNAcentral.
GAUGAACGCUGGCGGCGUGCCUAAUACAUGCAAGUCGAGCGAACGGACUAGAAGCUUGCUUCUCUGAUGUUAGCGGCGGACGGGUGAGUAACACGUGGAUAACCUACCUAUAAGACUGGGAUAACUUCGGGAAACCGCAGCUAAUACCGGAUAAUAUUUUGAACCGCAUGGUUCAAAAGUGAAAGACGGUCUUGCUGUCACUUAUAGAUGGAUCCGCGCUGCAUUAGCUAGUUGGUAAGGUAACGGCUUACCAAGGCAACGAUGCAUAGCCGACCUGAGAGGGUGAUCGGCCACACUGGAACUGAGACACGGUCCAGACUCCUACGGGAGGCAGCAGUAGGGAAUCUUCCGCAAUGGGCGAAAGCCUGACGGAGCAACGCCGCGUGAGUGAUGAAGGUCUUCGGAUCGUAAAACUCUGUUAUUAGGGAAGAACAUAUGUGUAAGUAACUGUGCACAUCUUGACGGUACCUAAUCAGAAAGCCACGGCUAACUACGUG